UCCAAAAUGUAGAAAAACUAGAAAUUAAUGAAAAAAACAAGAAACUUUAUUUACAUAUUUGCAUCUGUAAAUUUACUUGAACAAAAUGUUUUUCUCUCUCUCUGGCUCAGCUCUUUGUUUGUCUUUUGAUUUUUCCUUCUUCUAAUCAAAUGCUUAAGUCAAAUCAAAUUUGAUGAAACUCAAAGCGAAAAUUACUGGAGGAGCUUACACCAGAAUGAUUUUUGCUCCAACUAUGUUAAAUCAGAUUUUUCUUUCUCCAUUUUUCUUUAGUUCGACCUAGGAUCUAAGAAAUUAGAGGAGAUCGAGAAGAAGGAUAAGAUACUUCUGAAGAAGGUUUCCGAGGAGGUUGAAAAGGCCAAAGAGUUUACAAAACAAGAGAGGUAUGGAUGAGUUAUUUGCGGUUAUGAAGCGUGAACUUUGUAAUACAUAUUACUAAACUGCUUACGAGUACAUUUUAUACUGAUUUUUUACAUUACUCAGCAGGGACAGAACUAAGAUUUUCGUUAAGAGAAUUCAAAAUAUUAAGAAGUAAACACAUAAAGAAGCUAUAAGGGAAUUCUAAAUCUUCUGUAGAUAUAUAAAAAGUAAUUUUAACCUUGUA
Capsicum annuum is the source of this 601-nucleotide long non-coding RNA. RefSeq lists it as uncharacterized. The record is from RefSeq and is a predicted model, not a curated record. The transcript is spliced from 2 exons. Lineage: Eukaryota; Viridiplantae; Streptophyta; Magnoliopsida; Solanales; Solanaceae.